This 420-nucleotide ribosomal RNA is filed under the name uncultured bacterium. Its description in RNAcentral is "bacterial SSU rRNA". It matches the Rfam family "Bacterial small subunit ribosomal RNA", at positions 359 to 776 of the family's 1533-position model. The record is from RNAcentral.
GAAUAUUGGACAAUGGCGGAAACGCUGAUCCAGCCAUCCCGCGUGCAGGACGAAGGCCCUCUGGGUCGUAAACUGCUUUUACUAAGGAAGAAACGAGCGGACUUGUCUGCUCCUGACGGUACUUAGGGAAUAAGCACCGGCUAACUCCGUGCCAGCAGCCGCGGUAAUACGGAGGGUGCAAGCGUUAUCCGGAAGCACUGGGUUUAAAGGGUGCGCAGGCGGCUUGGUAAGUCAGAGGUGAAAGCUCACGGCUCAACCGUGGAACGGCCCCUGAUACUGCCAGGCUUGAAUGGGCGCGAGGCAGGCGGAAUGUGGCAUGUAGCGGUGAAAUGCUUAGAUAUGCCAUAGAACACCGAUUGCGAGGGCAGCCUGCCAGAGCUCUAUUGACGCUCAGGCACGAAUGCGUGGGGAGCGAACAGG